CGAGCUCUCACCGAGGGGGUUUAAUCUUAGGACGGGGCGGUCCUGGGCAGCUCGGGCGUGCGCCAUCCCCUGCGGGCAGGCAGCCCACUUUCAGAGACACCGUCCUGGGCGCCCCCCUACCCCCACGGGCACCACGAGAGCCCUGAGAGUUUGGGCCUGGCUCUCCGUUCCGCAGAGCCUGCGCCUCCACCGCCCAGAGCGCUCCCCAGGGCCCCCUCCCUCCAGGAGCUUCCCCCUUCCCCCCCACCUCCACCCACCUUCAGGCUGGGGCCAGCGCCCCCCAGCUCCCCUGCCGCCCCUUUCCAGUUUCUCAGCCCGCUGGGCACCGCACCCCACCCCCACCCCGAGGGCCUUAGGACCCCCCUCCCCCGCCGAGGAGCCGGUGAGCUAGGCCCGUUUCGGGGAGAAGCACAAGUAGCGAGGGCCCGGCCGGCCGGCGAGGUGGGGGGCGGGGUGGGGGCGGGGGCGCUGCGAGUGCGCCGCUCUUCGAAGGUCCUCGGUAUAGCUCUUUCGGCGGAGCUGGGCGCCGGCGGUGACCUCUUAACAAAGAACAGCAUUUUGGCAGAAAGCCUCUUCCUCACCAAGUGGACUCGUUUAACAGGCUGCUGGAGUAUCUUCACAACAUGGCAGUUGCCUUCCCUCAGAGUAAGUGAUCCAAGAGCGAGCAAGAUGGACGCCAUCUUGCCUUCUAUGACUUUGUCUUAAAAAUCAGAUAUGUUCAUCUCACACUUAGUCUAUUUGUUGGAAGCAAAAUCACACACUCCGGGGACGGGAACUGGGCUCCACCUUUUGAAGGAAGAAAUACCCCAAAAAUUUUUAACGCUGUUGCAUGCACCCAGGCUCUUUUAUAACUGUGGGAUUGUGGGAAAGGUUCCAUACUUCCCUCUUGAGUUUUAGUUUUCUCGUAUGAGAAAUGGGUCUAAUGAUACCCGUCUCGCAAGGCUGUUGAGAGCAUUAAGUGAAACCAUAAGUGAAGAAACCUUUGCAAAGUCUGAAGAGUUAGGUAGAGGUUAGUCAUUUAGGAAAAGCGCAGAGAAUCAUGGAAACCCGCACUUACAAACUCCCAUUGAUUCGCUUUAAGAAACUCGUUGAGCUGUGAAAGGUUUCCAGGAUGAUUCAGGAAGGAUCUGGGCUGUGAAACACUGUCUUCACGUCUUCAUUUCCUUCUCCUUCUGUUAGAAUUCCAGCUUGAUACGUGUGGGACCCUCUCGAUAUUGCUUUGCUUAAACUAAUUUUUAACUCCUUGCUUCCUUGUUCAGGUAGAUUCCCUGAUGCAACCAUCUAACUGCAAUUUCUCUUGUUGGCUGGGUUCCGCUGAGAGCAGUUUCUGUCUUUGAAUUUCAAUACUUUUUUUUGGAGGGGGGGACUUUUUUUUUUUUUUAAAGAUUAUUUAUUUAUUUAUUUGACAGAGAGAUUACAUGUAGGCAGAGAGGCAGGCAGAGAGAGAGGAGGAAGCAGGCUCCCUGCUGAGCAGAGAACCCGAUGUGGGACUCGAUCCCAGGACUCUGGGAUCAUGACCUGAGCCGAAGGCAGCGGCUUAACCAACUGAGCCACCCAGGCAUCCCGCGAAGGCAGCAGCUUAAACCACUGAGCCACCCAGGCGCCCGACUUUUUUUUUUUAAAUCCCCAAGAUGUUCAAAUUAAUUUUCCUACCCACCUGUUAUUUUUCUUUCCUCCCAACACGCGCUUCCAUUCAUCGGUAUGGCUGAUGGCUGCACCCUCGGAGCUCACCAAUGGAGAGAGACGCACACAGACUCGCGGAGAAGGCAUGCUAAGGGAGAAACGGAGGGCUGACUCCUCACGAAGAGCAGCAACAUUACACGCAUCCAACGUGCUGUUGAGUUGUUGCGGUGCUAUUUUUAGCCUCUUGUCUUCCUAUUUGACUUUAAUAUGGUUGCCAAUCACGAGUCAGGAUGCUCUGAGUCCCAGCCGGGAACCAGUUGUUUUCUUUAGAAUCUGCGUUCCGCGUGCCUGUGCCGGUCGAUCUCCGAACGUGGGCCAUUUUUACCUCAGCUUUUGCCACGAUGACUCUCAUUUCUCCUCUCUCUUUCCUAUGGUCCUUGUCAAAAGGAUGAGAAGGAGAGUGUCUGCCGAACGGUAAAACGUCGCAACGGAAACCUUCUAACACAACCUUCUUGGCUCCUUCAGUCCAUCUCCACGGAGCCCGGACUCUGGUCUCCGUAACCGACUCCUGUGCCACCUGCUAUCAGUUGGAAGAAAUCGAGGCAUAUCUUUUACCUUUCCAGAACUCCCUGUUAGGUGGUUUUGAAGUUACUGGACUUCCCAGUGGCUGUUGGAACGAAUGAGGCCUCCAUGAUGUGGCUGUGGCUAUGGUGCUUUGGCCGUGGACACUGCCAUCAGGGAUAAAGGCAGGCUCCGCUGCGCACCUGCUCUCGUGGACAUAGGUACCUUUCCGGUUGUUCGGGACGUCUUUGACUUGAAGUCAGGAGACCUGGAUCUGAUAUGGCUUUGCCAUGGUCUAACACUGCUAUCACCUGCAUGGGCUGAGUAACGCGGCCGCACAGUGUGAUUGCUGGCUUGGGUUGUGCUCGCUGAGUGAUUCCACAAAGACACGAACACAAUAAAGAUCUUCCAAAUCCUGCGUGGAUUUUACACUGCUUGCAUCUCUCAAUUCAGGCCAGCGAUGUUUCAAGUACUCAGUCGCUGCGUGUGGCCAGUGGCUGCCCUCUUGGACAGUACAGCUCCAGGACAGCGCCGAAGCCCUCAUCUUCUUUUCAGCACAUGCACCCUGUCUCCCUGACUUCCAUGCUAUUGAUACCAUGCCGUAAGUGACAGCGACCGUUUGGCCCAGACCAGUGCAAGUCCCCGGGGAAUUCCAGAACCAGCACCGCGUCGGUGAACGGCAGCCUGGUGGGGACCCGAGAAACAGUUUAAGUCUCCAUCCGCCCAGGUGGCAAGCCUCGCGCUCCAGGUGCGGUCAGGGACCAGCAGGUGGUGGUGGCUGGGCCCCGCCCACCUUGACUCCCGGCAGCCUCAGCGGCAGGACGGGUCCGCCUCACCUCCCAGCAGCCUCAGCGGCAGAGCGAGCCCGCCUCAUCUCCCAGCAGCCUCAGCGCCCCGGGUUGCUUCCCCGCUCCCUUACUGCGUGCACCUCAGAAGGCGACGCGGUGCCUGGGGCUUGCCCGCUGACCCCAGCCCUCACGGCAGCCCCGCCACCAGGGAGAACCGCGUCCCCCGACGUCCCUGGACGCCCCUGCGGGGACACUGGCCCGGAAGGAGGGGCCUCCGGGUGGCCGCACCCUCCACCGCGGCGCUGCCCCCGAGGGGCUGAGGGCUGAGGGCUGAGGGCUGCCGCCUCCCAGGGCGCGCUGUCCCUUUCCAGACCGCGUCGGAGACCGGAGGCUGCAGAGGCGCCGCGUGGAAGACACGCGCAGAGCCGGACGCUUCUGGGCGAGCUGCCGCCUCGGGCGCGAGGGCCUGAGCAGCAGCGCCUGAGGGGACGCUGCACGCCUGAGGGGACACUGCCCGCCUGAAGGGACAGUGCGCGCCUGAGGGGACAGUGCGCGCCUGAGGGGACACUGCGCGCCUGAGGGGACACUGCCCGCCUGAAGGGACGCUGCCCGCCUGAGGGGACGCUGCGUGCCUGAGGGGACACUGCCCGCCUUAAGGGACGCUGCCCGCCUGAGUGGACGCUGCCCGCCUGAGGGGACACUGCGCGCCUGAGGGGACACUGUGCGUCUGAAGGGACGCUGCCCGCCUGAGGGGACGCUGCCGGGUGCGCCCCGCGGCCAGACCGAGUCCUUCCCGGCGAUCGGCGGCCGAAGGCUUGCGUGGCUUCUGAUGUGCCCCAUCGUCGUGGUCGCGUCACGUGCCGCCGUCGCUGGAUGCAGCCGCGCGGGAGCUCACGUUGGCGCGGGUGGCCGCCCUGCUUCACCACGAGCCCGUUUCUGAGCCCGACCCUCGGGCGCGACCCUCCGUCUUCCAUCCAGGAGCCCGCCCCGCCGACCGUGGGCUUCUGGCCGUUCUCUAGCUGUUUCCCGGGAAGCCCUGGGACGCGCACCCUCCGGGACGGCGCCCAGUCAUCCCUCGCGUCCUGGGCAGCUUUCUGCACGUGGCUGACCACUGACCCCGACAGUAUGAGGACGGGCCGCCUAGGCUGGAAACCGCGGUGGGAUCGUGGUCCUGUGGAGGCCGGGUCCUACACGGGGCUGCUCCCCCUGCGGUCCCUCGCGCGGCGGAGGACAGUUGUCCCGCGUCGUGAACCCACAGAAGCAGCCUCGGCGAAGACGUCUCUGCGCUGCACAGCCGCGGCCUCUGGACCUCGGCCGUCUCGGACUGGCCAGCUCCGUCCACCCCGCGUCUUGCGGGGGAUCUUCCCGCCCCAGCCCCGUCCCCGAUCAGGCCUUCAGAUAACCGCAGCCCCGCUGCACGUCUGCAAGGCCACCUCACGGGGAUCCCUGAGCCACAGCGACCCAGGCCGGCCGUUCCCAAAUCGCUGGGCCGCAGAAAGUGUGGCGCCUGAUGGUCACGUUGUCGCUUUGCACCGAGUUUUCUUGCCGCGGAUUACACAGAAGCAGAAACGGGUCCUUGGUGCUUGGGGACCCAGCUGAGGCCACCGCCGGUGCCUGCAGAGCCUCCCGCCCUGUGGCCGGGCUGUGACGAUGUCCGUGCUCCGAGAAAGCGCUCUUACGGGGUCCUUCCCAUCUGACACCUGAUUUUUCAUGAAGAUGGGGAUGGAGCCCCAUAUUUAAAGAUCCAUGUGAAAAGGAAGUUGGAAGGGGGUAGGGUCUGAAAACUCAGAUGUGGAGAUAAAUGGCCGCAGAAUGUUUUAGAGAACUGAGACAGGUUGCCACACGAAGAAAUCAGCUCUUAUCCUGCGGUCCAUGAGGAAUCAUUAAGGAUGUGAAGAUGAGGAUGCCGUUAUUAGACCCAGAAACACAAACAGGACUGUCCCCUACCAUUUAACCCGUUUUGCUAGUAUGUUCUUGACAAUGCCGCGCUAUGUGCAGCAUCCUAUUAAGUAACGAAAGUGAAGGUCUCAAAACCCAAAGAAUAUGGAGAGUUCCACUCUGUAAACUCUACAGAAAUGAGCGAUGAUACCAGGAGUUGCUGCCUCUGUGGGACUGAUAAAACAUUCCACUGACCCCAGAUAUUGCCUGCAUGAAGAUAGCACUGGACCUGAAAAUCCCAGCAUUUGUCCUCGAGACCUGACCUUGGCCAUUUUCACUUAGUCAUCUGUUGUCUUGCUGUGUGGAUGGAGGAUGACGUAUUUUCUUGAUAUUAGCAGCGGGCCCUUUGUUUCUCUUAUUUCCUUUUUGCAGUCUUAGCUGUCAUCAUUCCCCAGAGAGGCACAAGUACGUAUUCUGAUUAUAUGCGGCACUACUGAAAAUACCUACACUACGAAUGGGAAGUCGCCACACAUUUAACACACAUUGAUUCCACACAUGUUUAUGGAGCACCUAUUGCCGGGAAUUCGCAGGCCCGGUGCUGUCCCUUGGGAUGGAUUUGUCAGUGCGUAAAGGAUACAGAGACUCUCAAGGAUCGUGGCUCUGGGUGCUGGCAGGGGAAGAGAGACAAUGGAUGGCAAAAACAAAGAAGUAAGCUAUAUGCUAUGUUACAAGACUGCAAGUGCCAAGUGGACUGUUUCUUUAAAAUGGACCGAGGGGUGCCUCUCCCCCAGCCCUCAUGUGCUCUCUCUCUCUCUCUCUCUCAAAAAA
This is a long non-coding RNA of Mustela lutreola (European mink), 5678 nucleotides long. RefSeq lists it as uncharacterized. The transcript has 5 exons. NCBI's taxonomy places the organism in Eukaryota, Metazoa, Chordata, Mammalia, Carnivora, Mustelidae. The record is from RefSeq and is a predicted model, not a curated record.